RNAcentral lists this ribosomal RNA (230 nucleotides) under uncultured bacterium. RNAcentral's name for it is "partial 16S ribosomal RNA". It matches the Rfam family "Bacterial small subunit ribosomal RNA", at positions 562 to 791 of the family's 1533-position model. The record is from RNAcentral.
AAAGGGCGCGUAGGCGGUUGUGUGAGUGUGAUGUGAAAGCCCCGGGCUUAACCUGGGAAGUGCAUCGCAAACGACAUAACUGGAGUAUAAGAGAGGGUGGCGGAAUUUCCGGUGUAGCGGUGAAAUGCGUAGAGAUCGGAAGGAACGUCAAUGGCGAAGGCAGCCACCUGGCUUAAUACUGACGCUGAGGCGCGAAAGCGUGGGGAUCGAACAGGAUUAGAUACCCUUGU